UGAAAUGAUGAUAGUUAUUGUGCCCCAAUCUUAAUUCGUACCACAUAGUGUAAGAUGGUGAAUUACAUUCCAACUCUCUUG
Small nucleolar RNA from Glycine soja, 81 nucleotides. RefSeq annotates it as small nucleolar RNA U31b. NCBI's taxonomy places the organism in Eukaryota, Viridiplantae, Streptophyta, Magnoliopsida, Fabales, Fabaceae. The transcript has a single exon. The record is from RefSeq and is a predicted model, not a curated record.